RNAcentral lists this ribosomal RNA (84 nucleotides) under Pluchea indica. Its description in RNAcentral is "partial 5.8S ribosomal RNA". It matches the Rfam family "5.8S ribosomal RNA", at positions 73 to 154 of the family's 154-position model. From Rfam's summary of the family: 5.8S ribosomal RNA (5.8S rRNA) is a component of the large subunit of the eukaryotic ribosome. RNAcentral also lists the same sequence under 1 other name. The record is from RNAcentral. Lineage: Eukaryota; Viridiplantae; Streptophyta; Magnoliopsida; Asterales; Asteraceae.
UGCAGAAUCCCGUGAACCAUCGAGUUUUUGAACGCAAGUUGCGCCCGAAGCCAUUCGGCCAAGGGCACGUCUGCCUGGGCGUCA